Ochotona curzoniae (black-lipped pika) is the source of this 376-nucleotide long non-coding RNA. RefSeq lists it as uncharacterized. The transcript is spliced from 2 exons. The record is from RefSeq and is a predicted model, not a curated record. Lineage: Eukaryota; Metazoa; Chordata; Mammalia; Lagomorpha; Ochotonidae.
GUAUGUGGGCGGACAUUACGAGGAGGGGCCGCGAGGGAUUGGUGGACAGUCGGGCACCAUUCGCCAAUUGUGGGAAAGGGGAAGCAGAUACCUCAAAUCGUACGAAUCCAAAAUGGUGGGCGCCUUCCGGGCCUCUAGUUGUCUGCCGCGAGUGACCGAGAUCUCUGCCCCGUUGCUGACCUAUUUUAGGAGGGAGAAAACAGGAAGAAGUUUCUUAAAACCAAAGAAGCGAUGGCAAGUCUUAACUUGAAGUUUGGGAAUCACUGGUUUUCAAGUUAGAACUGAAUGAACAACUGUUGACAACCGCGGUUGCCCGUUGCAUGCCAACGGCAGCAAACAACAGGAUCAGCUAGGGUGGAAUAACUGUGGAAGCCCU